AGAGCGAACGCUGGCGGCAGGCUUAACACAUGCAAGUCGAGCGGGCGUAGCAGUACGUCAGCGGCAGACGGGUGAGUAACGCGUGGGAACGUACCUUUGGUUCGGAACAACACAGGGAAACUUGUGCUAAUACCGGAUAAGCCCUUACGGGAAAGAUUUAUCGCCGAAAGAUCGGCCCGCGUCUGAUUAGCUAGUUGGUAGGGUAAUGGCCUACCAAGGCGACGAUCAGUAGCUGGUCUGAGAGGAUGAUCAGCCACAUUGGGACUGAGACACGGCCCAAACUCCUACGGGAGGCAGCAGUGGGGAAUAUUGGACAAUGGGGGCAACCCUGAUCCAGCCAUGCCGCGUGAGUGAUGAAGGCCCUAGGGUUGUAAAGCUCUUUCGUGCGGGAAGAUAAUGACGGUACCGCAAGAAUAAGCCCCGGCUAACUUCGUG
RNAcentral lists this ribosomal RNA (435 nucleotides) under uncultured bacterium. RNAcentral's name for it is "bacterial SSU rRNA". It matches the Rfam family "Bacterial small subunit ribosomal RNA", at positions 26 to 507 of the family's 1533-position model. The record is from RNAcentral.